GAGACGAACAGCUGAGCCAAGCCAGCACCACCAACUGUCCGGCUCCGCAGCGCGCGUGCGCAGGAGGGCUCGGUGUGGACAGUGAGGCUGGUCUCGAACUCCACGGCAUAAGUGAUCCGCCCGCCUGCGCCUACCAGAGUGCUGGGAUCACAGGCCUGAGCCCACGCCCAGCCCCUUAUGGGAAUUUCAUUUCAGACUGACAAGACUUCAAGAGUGUCACUCUUAGGUCAUCUCGUCUUAAGGAUGAGAAUACACAGGUCCCCAGGGAGUAAGUGGUUGAUUCAAGAUCCCACAAGUAGUGAGAGAUGAUAAUUCAAAGGGGCAGAGGAUGUGAAGGAGAAAAAGCUCUUCUGUAGAGGAGAAGACCAACUAAUAAAGGACGAAACAAUCAGGCAAAUCCAAACUGAGAGACCUGCAAGACAACUGCCCAGUCUUCAAAAAUGUCAGUUUCGUGAAAGAUUAGGAAAAAGGCUAGUGAACUGCUCUAGGUUAAAGGAAGCAAAAGAUAUGACACUAAAAGCAACGUGUGAUCCUAAAUUAGACCCUGAAUAAAAACCAAACAAACAAAACCAGCUACUGAGGAACGUUAUUGGGACAAUCGGGGAAAUUUGAAUGGAGAGUAGAUUAGUAUGGCAACAAUGUAAAAUUUU
Long non-coding RNA from Gorilla gorilla gorilla (western lowland gorilla), 650 nucleotides. RefSeq lists it as uncharacterized. The record is from RefSeq and is a predicted model, not a curated record. NCBI's taxonomy places the organism in Eukaryota, Metazoa, Chordata, Mammalia, Primates, Hominidae. The transcript has 3 exons.